ACAAGCCUUCAAAAAAAAAAAACUAGCAGAUAACAAAGAAACAUGGCUGGAGGCAGAGAAUUCAAGGUGAGUACGAGGAAGCAAGAUGCGGUGGCCGCUGCACUGCCAUUGCAAGAGCACCGGCUACCACUCUCCAACCUCGACUUGCUUCUGCCACCAGUCGAUGUGGGAGUGUUCUUCUGCUACAAGAACCACAGCAGCCCCUCUGUGGCCGCCUCCAGGGUCGGGGUUCUGAAGAAGGGCUUGGCCCAAGCCCUGGUGACAUACUAUGCCUUUUCGGGUGAGGUGGUGGCCAACUCUGUUGGGGAGCCUGAGAUUCUGUGCAACAACCGUGGGGUUGAUUUCACUGAAGCUUUUGCUGACGUUGAACUUAAAGAGCUCAACCUUCAUAACCCUGAUGAGAGCAUUGAAGGAAAAUUGGUUCCCAACAAGAAGCAUGGGAUUCUGGCUGUCCAGGUUGAUAUCCGACUCCUGUUCCCUCUCACUUCAACGUUUUAAGUUUUGUUUUUUGUUUAUGAAAUUUGUAGUUUUGAACCAGAAGUUGACCCAUUUCCUCUAGCAGAAGUAAUCAAAUUUCUCUAGUUGAAUGUACAAAUUUGCAGGCAACUGAACUCAAGUGUGGAGGGAUGGUGGUGGCAUGCACAUUUGACCAUCGCAUAGCAGAUGCCUACUCAGCCAACAUGUUUCUGGUUUCAUGGGCAAAGAUGGCCAACUCAGAAUCUCCAGUCAUUAUCGUACCUUCUUUUCGUCGUUCUUUGUUAAACCCUCGCCGUCCCGGUCAGAUCCAUCCUUCCCUAAAUGACCUGUACGUCCCUGUCACAUCUCUGCCCCCUCCUCCCAAAAUGGAGACCAAUGAUCAUGAAGACCGACUUCUCAGUCGCAUAUACUACGUUAAAGCAGAGCAACUUAUCAAGCUCCAAGCACUUGCGAGCUCCAGUGGUUGCAAAAGGUCCAAGCUGGUGUCCUUUUCUGCAUUCUUGUGGAAAAUGGUUGCCGGAAGCGAAACCGGCAAUGAUGUCGAAAAAUUAUGCAAAAUGGGUAUUGUAGUUGACGGAAGGUCUAGAUUAGCCGAUGAAAAUAAGAUGGCUAGUUACUUUGGCAAUGUUUUGUCUAUUCCAUUCGGAGAUAAAGUAAUACAAGAGCUCAAUGAAAAAUCACUGAAUUGGGUAGCUGAUGAAGUUCAUGAGUUUCUGGAAUGUGCGGUAACGAAGGAACAUUUCUUAGGGCUGAUAGACUGGGUGGAGGCUCACCGCCCGGUGCCAGGCAUGGCCAAGAUAUGCUGCAGCGGAAGCGAAGAGGGUCCUGCUUUCGUGGUGUCCUCCGGCCAAAGGCUUCCGGUUUCUGAAGUGGAUUUCGGUUGGGGGGCACCGCUUUUUGGGUCGUACCAUUUUUCAUGGGGAGGCAGCUCCGGGUAUGUGAUGCCGAUGCCGAGUCCGGUGGGGAAUGGGGACUGGGUUGUGUACAUGCACAUGUUGAAAGGGCAGUUGGACGUGAUAGAGAAGGAGGGUGGUCAUGUGUUCAAGCCCUUGACUUAUGAUUAUCUUGUUUAAUUAAAUUUUAUUAUUGUAAGUAUUUAUAAUUACCAAAUGUUUAUCUCAAUAAUUCUGUAUACACGGAGAUUGAAGUUAAAUUCCUUCUAUAUUGUACCUUAUGUAUGAUCAAUCAGGUACCCAAUGUUUAGAAGAGGGUACCUCAAGUUAUGCUCAGUUUGACAGUUUAAUAUUUCCGUUAAUUUUUUCGUUAAAUAUAAGAGAAAAUUUUGAUUUAUGUCCUAUUUAUAAAUAUAGACAUAAAUAUAUUUGUUUUGUGGGUUAAAUGACCAUUAGUCUUGGGUCUUUAUUAUUUUCUAGGUCUUUUAGGAGCACAUGAACAUGAAUUAAUAUUUUUGGUUAGGUUGAUAUAAUAUGACAUAAUCUAAUUUUAUGUUAAAAAAAUAUGUAUUUGUGAUUUGACCACCUAUUACACUACUUUCAGUGAAUUAAUUCGAUAUAUCUCAGUGGAGUAGUCUUGUGAGUGUUUAGGUUACACCGACUAAAUUUCUUAAAUAUAAAAUUCAAUUAUGUUUGAAGAAAAUAUUAAUACAUCCUUAUAUAGAUAAAUAUUAAUUCAAUUUUUGGAUAUAUAGUGAAAUAUAUACAGUUGUCUUCCAGAGCAGGACACCACUUUGAAAUUAAAGCGUGGUGCUCCUCAUUUUGCUCACUUUCAGGUCGCAUUUCCACAACUGCACAUUUUAGUGUCUAAAUGUGUAGAUCAUUUCUGUAAAGUUUCAUCAAAUUUGGAGAUCAUUUGAGCUUCCGUAAUUGUGAUUUACACGAAUAGUUUUGUUCUGUUUGGACAGUUUUUGUUAUGUUGAUUUAUUGAAUCUAAUUCGGUACCCAAAUGAUCUACAAAUUAGAUGAAACUGUGUAGGAAUGAUAUACACACUAUGUUAUAGACAUAAUACGGUUAAUAUGUGAAAAUGCGACUUGAAAAUGAACGAAAUAAGAAGGUUCACACUUUAAUUUCAAAGAGAGACACCGCUCUAAAAGGAAAUUGUGUAUACACAUAUGUCAUAUGAGUGUUUAGGUGCUUGCUAUGCUCUAAAUUGGCUCUAACUUUCUCUUUCUUAUGAUAUAUAUGAUGCAAGUUUUACGGAGAUAUUAGUUUAAACUUCGGACAAAACUCUCCUACCUCAUCUUGAAAUCUACAACCCAUAUCUCUCUCUCUCUCNNNNNNNNNNNNNNNNNNNNUACUACUACUACUACUACUCUACUACUACUACUACUCUCUCUACUCUCUCUCUCUCUCUCUCUCUCUCUCUCUCUCUCUCUCUCUCUCUCUCUCUCUCUCUCUCUCUCUCUCCUCAGUUUCUUUUUAUCUUCUUCUUUCUCCGUCCUUGACCUUCUCUUUCUCUUUCUCUUUCUCAUCCCUUUCCCUUUUCUUAAUUUUCUUUCUCCCUUCCCCUGUUUGCCUUUUCUCUGUCUCCUUUUUCCCCCACGUACCGUCAACAAUGACCCAAAUCCUUCUUAUCUCACCACAAAAGAUAAGACCAGCCUACCAAAUAAUAUCAUUGUAGGUGACUGACAACCAAUAACUAUCAAUUUAGCUAUUUCUCAUGUCCAAAGCAAAGAUUCCGGGCUGCUAGCAGUUAGUAACUUAAUUAGUACGUACAUUGUUUAACGUAAGCAGUUGGCUAAGCUCAUUUCUCGUUUAGGCAUUACAGCUAGGGUCUUAAUAAGGCUUAAAAUUUGUGACAUUAAUCCUAUGUGUCAUGUUAUAUAAGUAUGUAAAAAUAUUUACUUCUGAUUCCAGAUAAUAUAUCUUACCAAAUCAUUAGAUUACAUUACAAAUUUGACCAUUUCUAUUUCCCUUUAGAUUUUAAGAGGUGAAUCAAUGAUAUUAAUGAACUUUAUUAGCCUCUGCAGCGAUGUGCCUCUUAUUAAAGACUUUUAACCUUGUAGGCAUUUGCAGCUGCUAUAUGUGAUCUCUGUCACUUUGGCAAUAUCUUUAAACCCAUCAGGCAUUGAAACUGUUAUGUUCUAGAUAUCGAUUAUGUGGGGAUUAGGAUGAGACAGAGUGGGGACAACCACGACAAUCCUUGUCGUUCUCUUAGAAAAUCAUUUUUCUUAUCUCCCCCUAACUACGAGAAGACUAUCUCAUCAAAGUGACAUUCCGCAAGUCUAGCGAUAAAGAGAUGACUUGUCAAGAGUUUCAAAUGGCGGAUAAUUAUUGGAGUUUCAUAUCCAACACAUAAAUAUUCGUUUCUGAGGACCCAAUUUUGAUGCGUUGUGGGGGUGCAAUAAGCACAUAUGUUGCACAACCAAGUAUGCGUAAAUCUUAGGCUCAUGUCUAGUUACCAACUGGUACACAGGGAAUGGUUGGCUAGGAGUGGGCUUAAAAAUGAAUAAGUAAGGUUGCAUGCAAUAUUGCAUAACCCCAAGCAGAUAUAGGCAAGUUGGUGCGCAUAACCAGUACCCUAGCCAUCAUUUAUGGUGCUUUCUGCGAGACCAUUUUUGUAUGCAAAUGGGGUACAAGAUGCUCUACAUUGAUCAUGAUAGACAUACAAUAACCAUCAAAUCCUUUUGAUGUGAACUCUCAUCAUUGUCAAGUCCUAUAGACUUGGUGAUUAGGGUGAUAAGCCCUUAAACACAUAAUAUUUGCUAAGAGUUUUGCAAAUGUAGUAUUUCUUGUGAAUAAUAAUUCGACAUAUGACUAGUGUGUCGAUACGUCCUCUAGAUACAUAAUGUACUUUAAUGGUCCGCAUUUCUGGAUGGAUAAGUCCACAGUCAUCACAUUGUAUUCUUUGUAAGAAUGGAAUAUAUUGGUUUAUAUCUUUAGCAUAAGGAGGUCUCGAUCUUAUUUUUUUGCUAAAGUAUAGACUUUGCAAAACGAGUAAUUUUGCCUUUGAAAUAAUCAAUAAGGCAUAAUGGGAGGCAUGUUGUGUAUCACGUGCUUUAGAGUGCAAUGACCGCAUUAUAGCAACAUUAGCUAGAACUGGCCAGUGUCUGGUGGUCAGAGUCGGUGUCGUCACCUUGCAGGGUAACAGAGUUUUGUCCCAUUUUAUUAUUCACUCAAAGGAUAGGAUAUCCGUGUGAGUUCUUUAAAAUACGAAUCAUCAUGUCAUGACCAAGAAGUUUCUUGGUGGUCAUGCUAAAGUCUGUGUAAGUCCCUAUCCCAUGUUUCAAUGUAGGUGACUAGUUAGAUUUUUUAAAAUGCGUGUCCUACCACAUUUUAUUUAAGGUAAUAUCAUUCCAUUCUCACAUUAGAUUUUCAUAUGAUGAUCGUUGGUACGAAUUUCUUGAAACUUUAACAUGGUUUGAUUAGUGUGGUUAAUUCCACUGUCAGCCAAGCACUUGGUUUUCUUCUCGAUACAUUCCUUACAAGUAUAUAAGAGUUUAUUAAAAUAUACCUCGUAUUCUUUGGAGUAUUUCGAGUCUCAUCUAGCGUCCUCCUCACAAAUAAACCAAACAUACUUAGCAAAUAACAAAGAAAUUAUCCAAAAAAAAAAAAAAAAGCAAAUAACAAAGAAACACGCGUACAUGACCAACUUACUGCACCGGCUAGAUUAUAGAUUCAGAUCACUAGAUUACGAACCCUGCACAAUAGUUCCGAGUCAGAAGUAGAAUUUUUCUCUACUGUAACAACGGAGAAAAAGUAGAAACCAGCCCCCCGGCAAGCAACAUUGUAACAACCCUUAUUUGUUUUCAUUGUUCAUUGUAGGUCAUGACUCGCAAUCAAUAACUGCCAAGUUUAGUUAUUUCUCAUGUCCAAAGAUUCUGGGUUGUCGAACCCAUACAUAAUAAGUUAGUUCAUUGUUCAACGGAAGUACGUAGCUGGCUAAGCUCAGUUCUCCUUUUUCCCUUCCACAAGCCUACCUAUAUUUUUUAUUUUUAUUUUGAGGCAAAAACCUAUAAGUUUAUCAAAUUUAUGUAUUUUUGAUCGUCAACAUAAUUCAACAUCAAAUGAUAAUUAAGUAUAUAAAGGUUUUGAUUAGUUGAUUCAAACUUAAGCCAUUUAAGAACAUGUUCCAAUCAGAUUGUGCUGAACAAAUUGAUGUAAUGAAUGAUUAUAUAUAGCUGAGUUUCAGCAUUAUGUUCUUAGAAAUGUUAUUUCACUCUCUAAAUUAACUUCCUCGUCUAGCUAGUCCUCCUCACAAACCAAAGCAUACCAAACCAAACGAAACCAAACACAAUUAGCAAAUAAUAAAGAAACACAUGACUAACUUACUAGUUACUACACCAGAUUAUAGACUCCGAUCACUAUAUUACCAACACUGUAAAUGCAUAACGGUUCUCAUAAGAAGAAGAAGAAGUUUCCUCCACUGUAACCACUAGCUGGCUCCAGUGGUCCAGGUCUCCAGGAACUAACAAAUAUGCAAGUUGAAUUAACUCCUUACUUUGGUUUGCUGUUCAGAUAAUAGCUUAUAAGUUAUAAUUAAAUUUAGCCUUACCUCAAAUCGUCAUUGUCGCGGACUCACAUGAACUAGUUGUUUAAGUUAAUUUAUUACCACACCAACUUUUCCAAAGAUGUGAGCCUAUAUAAGUAAUCCAGAAGAAGUUGGUACAUUGUGAUGAAAAGGUAAAUAGUUUGGUAGCUCGAUAUUUUAUUGCUUAAGUUGCUUUCACCUCUAAAACCUACCCAUGCAGCUCAGCUUACUGCUUAUUGCUAUACUAAUCAAGGCCCAUUUAGGAUAACUUCGAUUUAAAAAAAAAAAAAUUAGGAGUGUUUGGUAAAUCUAAAAUGGAUCAGUUUUUAGAAGCAACAUCGAUGUAAGCAAUCAUCUAGAUUCACCCCUUAAAGGAAAAAGAAAUGGUAAAACUGGUAAUGCAAGCUUAUAAUUUGACAAGAUGAAAAAAAAAAAAAACUUAUGAUUUGACAAGAUAAAUUAUGUGAAAUCAGAAAUAAAUAAUUUUACAUACUUACGUGACAAUACUUACAUGACAUGAUUAAUGUCACAAAUUUUAGGCCUAAAAUCCUAUAUCAGUGCUCUUUCUCGAUUGAAAUUUGCAUCGUAACAGGUGUAAUAGUAUUACAAAGAACUACCAACCUGAUUUGGUGAACACAUUUAAUUAAUUAAUAAUUACAGUGAGUUUUAGUUAGGAAUAUUAUUCCACUCUCGAACUACACACUGCCUAUAAAUUCACUCCUCAUCUAGUGUCUUCCUCAUAAACCAAACCAAACCAACCAAACUUAACUAGCAGAUAACAAAGAAACAUGGCUGGAGGCAGAGAAUUCAAGGUGAGUACGAGGAAGCAAGAAGUGGUGGCCGCUGCACUGCCAUUGCAAGAGCACUGGCUACCACUCUCCAACCUCGACUUGCUUCUGCCACCAGUCGAUGUGGGAGUGUUCUUCUGCUACAAGAACCACAGCAGCCCCUCUGUGGCCGCCUCCAGGGUCGGGGUUCUGAAGAAGGGCUUGGCCCAAGCCCUGGUGACAUACUAUGCCUUUUCGGGUGAGGUGGUGGCCAACUCUGUUGGGGAGCCUGAGAUUCUGUGCAACAACCGUGGGGUUGAUUUCACUGAAGCUUUUGCUGACGUUGAACUUAAAGAGCUCAACCUUCAUAACCCUGAUGAGAGCAUUGAAGGAAAAUUGGUUCCCAACAAGAAGCAUGGGAUUCUGGCCGUCCAGGUUGAUAUCCGACUCCUGUUCCCUCUCACUUCAACGUUUUAAGUUUUGUUUUUUGUUUAUAAAAUUUGUAGAUUUGAACCAGAAGUGACUCAUUUCCUCUAGCAAAAGCAGCCUAGAAACUUAAAACCAUUAAGGACAAAGGAUGAUAAAACACAACUAGCUACAAAGAACAAAGAGUACGUAUUAAACGUAAAUGCUAGCCCAACUGACCAGGCUACAUGAUUACACUACCAAAAAUUAGGAUUGACUUCUGCACUAUAUAUGGUAAAGCUUUUAGGGCAUCCAAAAUUAGGGUUUUUCAGGUUUAAGGUGUGCUCCAGAGUUUUAUUUUCGAACUGUAAUUUGAUGAGGACCUAAAGCCGACUUGAUUUUAGACAUAUAUAACAAACAAUAUCAACACAAAGAAUCCAUGAGAAGCACGCAAAAUUUUAAGUGUCGCUAUCGCUGUCCCAGAGUUACGUACUCAUAGUAUUGUAUUCCUCUCCAAGUUCUUCUUACUGAAGCAAUAUCCAAAUCAAAUUUCUCUUGUUGAAUGUACAAAAUUUGCAGGCAACUGAACUCAAGUGUGGAGGGAUGGUGGUGGCAUGCACAUUUGACCAUCGCAUAGCAGAUGCCUACUCAGCCAACAUGUUUCUGGUUUCAUGGGCAAAGAUGGCCAACUCAAAAUCGCCACUCACUAUGGUACCUUCUUUUCGUCGUUCUUUUUUAAACCCUCGCCGUCCCGGUAAGAUCCAUCCUUCCCUAAAUGACCUGUACGUCCCUGUCACAUCUCUGCCCCCUCCACCCAAAAUGGAGACCAAUGAUCAUGAAGACCGACUCCUCAGUCGCAUAUACUACGUUAAAGCCGAGCAACUUAUCAAGCUCCAAGCACUUGCGAGCUCCAGUGGUUGCAAAAGGUCCAAGCUGGUGUCCUUUUCUGCAUUCUUGUGGAAAAUGGUUGCCGGAAGCGAGACCGGCAAUGAUGUGGAAAGAUCAUGCAAAAUGGGUAUUAUAGUUGACGGACGGUCUAGAUUGGCCGAUGAAAAUGAUUUGAUGGCUAGUUACUUUGGCAAUGUGUUGUCUAUUCCUUUCGGCGGUAAAAAGAUACAAGAGCUCAAUGAAAAAUCACUGAAUUGGGUAGCUGAUGAAGUUCAUGAGUUUCUGGAAUCUGCUGCGACGAAAGAACAUUUCUUAGGGCUGAUAGACUGGGUGGAGGCUCACCGCCCGGUGCCAGGCUUGGCCAAGAUAUACUGCAACGGAAGCGAAGAGGGCCCUGCUUUCGUGGUGUCCUCCGGCCAAAGGUUUCCGGUUUCUGAAGUGGAUUUCGGUUGGGGGGCGCCGCUUUUCGGGUCGUACCAUUUUCCAUGGGGAGGCAGUUCCGGGUAUGUGAUGCCGAUGCCGAGUCCGGUGGGGAAUGGGGACUGGGUUGUGUACAUGCAUAUGUUGAAAGGGCAGUUGGACGUGAUAGGGAAGGAGGGUGGUCAUGUGUUCAAGCCCUUGACCUUUGAUUAUCUUGUUUAAUCAAAUUUUAUUAUUGUGAGUUUGUAUAAUUACCGAAUGUUUAUCUUAAUAAUCAUGUAUACACCGAGGUCCAAGUUAAUGGUGAAAGCAUAGCCGUACUAUAAUCAUUUAUAUGUGAGGUUCACCGUGCGACUGUAUCAAUGUCAUCUAAUAAUAUUCAUUCACGUACGUGCUUUGUAUAGGUACACAUAAGGUACGUAUUUAUUAUAACCAAAACUAAGUAUGUCAUUAUUUCAAUUUAAAAACACAAUUUCAAUGUCCUUAAAUUAUGUUUUGUAGUAGUGUGUAAUUCAUAGAUACUGAUUGAAAGCAACGUUGCUAGGUACGCAGACUAGGUGUGUUCAUAUAUAUAUAUAUAUAGAUUACAAAAAAAACCCUUCUCUUUGAACAUCAGUUUAUACAUCCUUAGUCAAAGAAAUUAAGAGUCAUGUCAAAACCUUAUCAUGCUUAGGAAUAUAUAUAUAUAUACACAGUCCGUCUCAGCUGCGGACGUCCGCAGCAAUGGUUUUGGUGCGGAUUUUCAUUUUUGCACCACUUUUCAAUCGAAUUUCCUCAUCUCCACCAUCUAGUAUCUAGAUAAUAUUGUGUAGAUUGUCACUGCAAAAUUUCAGCCAAUUUGGUAAUCGUUAAGGCCCUCAAAAUUGUGUUUUUCUGGUAUAAACAUGAACCGGACAGAAUUCAGUUCGUCCAUUUGUUUUUCGAGUUUGAGGGCCUUAACGAUUACCAAAUUGGUUGAAAUUUUACAGAGAUGAUCUACACAAUAUUAUCUAGAUACUAGACGGUGGAGAUGAGAAAAUUCGAUCGAAAAGUGGUGUAAAAAUGGAAAUCCGCACUAAAACUUUGGUGCAGACGUCUGCAGCUGAGAAAAAUUGUACAUAUAUAUAUAAUGUUGAUCAGGUAAAGACCUCCUUACCUUAGCUAAGGUGCGGAUUUCUUUAUUCGACCCACUUUUUAAUCACAUUUUCUCAUCUUAACCGUUCAGUAUCUAGGUAUGUAUGAGUAGAUCAUUUUUACAAAUUUUCAGCCAAAUUGAUAAUGGUUAAGGCAUUGAAAACUGUGAUUUAGAGUUAAAAGAAUGUACGGUUCAGGAUGAACAGAUUCGGUUCGUUCAUUGAUUUAAUGCAUUUUCGAUACGUUAACGAUAACCAAAUUAGCUAAAAAUUUACAGAGAUGAUCUAAUCAUGUAUAUCUAAAUACUGAACGGCUAUGAUGAGAAAAUAUGAUCAGAAAGUAGGUCAAAUUAAGGAAAUCCGUACCUUAACUAAGUUAAAGAGAUCCUUAUUUGAAAAGGACUGUGUGUGUGUGUGUGUGUGUGUGUGUGUGUGUGUGUGUGUGUGUGUGUGUGUGUGUGUGUGUGUGUGUGUGUGUGUGUGUGUGUGUGUGUGUCUAUAUAUAAAUAAGGGAUUCUUUUUUUUGGGACAGAUAUGAGAGAUCGGGAAUUACAUCAACUUUUUUAUUAUAUUUUUAAAUCUCCACUAGUUAGUUUGUAGGUCCAUAUAUAUAGAUCACUUAUGUAAAUUUUUAGCUAAUUUGGUGAUCGUUAAGGUGUCGAACAAGAUUAAAUCAAUGAACGAACCAAACAUGAACCGUUUAUGCUUAUAAUUAUAUAUCGCAGUUUAAGGUUAUAAUUAUAUAUCGCAGUUUUGAAUGCCUUAACAAUCACUAAAAUUUCUGAAAAUUUGCAUAAGUGAUCUACUCAUAUAGUGAUCUACGUGUUGAAAGAUAAAGAUGUGAUUUUGUAAUUAAAAAGUUGGUGUAAUCUCCAAAGUGGUAGAGGUAAAGUUAAGACAUAUGGAACACAUGAUGAUCAUCGGGUGAUAACACCAUUUAUUAACCUAGCUAGAUCGACAUUCAUGAGCACAAUCACAUAUCACUACUGGAAAAAAACACUUAGGAGACGGAAUUAUUUCGUCUCCUAAGUGACAGAUUUCGUCUCCUAAGUAUUUAGGAGAUGGAAUGUCCGUCGGCUAAGAUCUGUCGUCUAAGUGUGGUGAGGUAGACACUUAGGCGAUUGAACCUAAAAUUCUGUUGCCUAAGUGGUUCUUACAAGACAGAAUACUUUCGUCUCCUAAGCACUUAGGUGACGGAUUUUAUUUACAAUUAAAAAAAAUUUAUCCACUUAGGAGACGGAAUAGUUGAAUUCCGUCGCUAAAGGUCGAAAUUUUUUAAAAAAAAAUAAAAAAGCCACCGCAGGUUUUUUAUCCACUCACUCCGACCGCCCUAAAUACCACCACCACUGCAGGUUUUAGAAGUCACAACUAAAUGUCUUGAACUUCUUCUCAUCCUGCAUAUAAGUAGUAAAAACUUGCAUUUAUAAACUGCAUAUGGAAAAAUAAAAUUUACUGCCCUUCAGUAAAUUUCUACUAGGGAUCAGUAAACUUGCGAAAAAUAACUCCAUUUCAAUUUCAGGGGCACAACACACAAUAGAUACCAAUUCUUACNNNNNNNNNNNNNNNNNNNNAAAAGAUGGGUUUCCUUCUAUUGAUAAGGUUCGUGAGUGUGUGAUUUAAAAGAAUUGAUAUGUUUUUGAAAAAUUUUGGUUUAGAAUUUUCAUGAAAUUUUACGCGGGAAGAUGGGCGCUCAAAUUUUUAGAACUUAAGCGACUGAAUGUUCUAUUUCCGUCGCCUAAGUGAUUCAUAAUUUUAUUUUAUUUUUAAAAAAACAUUCCGUCUCCUAAGUGAUUCACAUAAAUUUUUUAAUUUUAAAUUUUUCAAAAUACCGUCGUCUAAGAAAAAUAUUCCGUCGCUUAAGUACCACUUAAGCGACGGAAAUUCCGUCUCCUAAAUCGUUCUUAGGAGACGAAAUCGAAAUAUUUCGUCUCCUAAGAACAACUUAGGAGACGAAAAUUGUUUCGUCGCCUAAGUAGAAAAUUCCGUCUCCUAAGUGUUAUUUUCCAAUAGUGUAUGAUCAUAUGCAUAAAAGAAAAAAAAUCAUAACCUCGAUCUCAAAAGCUUUAAAGAGUUCAUAAUAGGGGGGCAAAAGUACAAGCUCGAGGGCUGAUAAAUGCCACAACUACAUGGAGAAAUACUCUUUUUUUUUAUUUUUAUUUUUUUUAUAACAGAGGACGAGCUAUAUGCCAAAACCUCUAUUGAGUUUUAUUUAAAAGAAAAAAUAAAAGAAUAAAAAAAUAAGGAGGGGACAUUAAGCAUAACUCUUUAAUAAGAAAAGUUACCAAAAUGAUAAGAAGCUCUAAUAGACAGAUAAACAAAAACCAAUAUGCAACAAAAAGCACCCUACUGAAAACAAAAGUUAGGCCGGGAGUCCCAUAUAGUCUCUAUAGCAAUGAGAUAAAAUGAAAUGCGGAGGCAAAGCCCACCAUAUCAAACAAAGAAACCAUCAUGAAGUACCAUGGACAUAAGUCAAGGAGAGUUGUACUCCCAGCUCACACAGUCAAAGUAAGUAGCAAACGAAGAAAACCGAGACGAAAAAUCAUCGUCGAAGCAACAAUGACGACAUCAAAUGCGGCAGCAGGAAUGGUGGACGAAGCAAUAAAAGAUUGGAUACGAGCAUGAAGAGGAAUUUAAAAAAAAAAAAAGAAUAUGAAGAGGAACAUGGGGGCCAAGCCGUCAAAGACAUACAUGAUUCUCUUUGGUAUUUGCAGAUAGUGCUGGAAAUGCUUUGUCACAAUGUCAUCUCGCUGGUGCUGCCUCUGAAUUGACUGCCUUGUCUAGUGUGUGUCUUCUCCAAACCAAACCAAAUUAAACCAAAAGUAAUUAGCAAAUAACAAAGUUAUGCCUUUUCGAAUCGGUUUUGGUUACUUAAUUUGUUGUUGUGUCUAUGUGUUUUUGAUCGAUGAAUUGGUGUUUUGGUUUGUGGUUACUUUGUUUACACACUAUAGCCAUGUUGUUUAGUAGAUUUAUCUGGUUUAUGUAUUUAAUGGGGUGUCGUUAUGGAUGUCAUUUUGUCUCAUUCUUUCAGUCUUCAUGGACAAAAAUAUUAUGAUGAACAAUCCCGAAAAGCUAAUUAAUGUAAAGUAAUCUAAAAAAACCUAAUGUAAAAGUGUAAAACAAUCUGAAAACACCUUAAAAAAAUCUUCUUAAUCGCUAUGCAUGGUGAUGAAAAUAACCCACUCAGUUAAAAAAUGAAGACUUGAACUUCACUAAAUUUAAGUUUUCUAAUGGACUUAUGUUAUUUGGUGAUGAACUACUUAUCUUAGCUUUUAUUUGAUGAUGAACUAUGUUAAGGACUUAUAUAUGGACUUCUAUAAGCUUUUUUUUCUUACCGAUUUAAGGAGUUUAUUCGUCAAAUGUUAAUUAUAAUAAUUUUGAAUUUUACUAAUUAAAAGUAUAUCUUAAUCUACUUGACAGGUUGAAAUCUCUGAACCUAUUUCAAAAGUGAACACAUCUUAUAAAAAGGGAACUACAAUUGGGGCACUACUAUAUAAUAAAAGAGUUGUCAUAUUUCGCGAUUCUCGCUCUACAGCUAUUGAUGAAAGCAAUAGGUAGUCUAUAUGUGUGUUUUUAAUUUCAAAUAUUCAUUAUCCUAUGUGAGUUUUUACUAAUAAAUUUUAUAUAAUCUCGUUCAAGUCGAACAUGUUUUAUCUAUCAUGCGGGAGUGAAUGUUUAUGUGAACAACUAAACAAAAGUUUGAUUCAUCAAAUUGAGACUUGUUGCGAGUUAGUGGCUAUUGAUUUGUUGGCAGGGAUGGCCCGUGCAAAUCUAAAUCAUUAUCUCGUUCUUCAACGUCAAAAUAUGUUCGUUAUCAGUGACAUUCUCAUUGGUUGGCUUUCAUAUAUACAUGGUAAAUUACAUCUCAUAUUUGUUUAUAUAUACAUCUGUAUUCAAUGUAUGAUGGAUAUUUUUAAUGCAGAGGUAUCAAGCCUAUAAGGUUAUGCUAGAAGGGGAUUAUCUACACGAUCUAGAGCAUCUCAAAUACACCAAACAUCUUGAGGGUCACGAAACAUAUUAAAUACCAAUUGUUGACUGGUUCAGGAUCAUUUUAUGUCAUCACAUGUUACGCAAUUGUAAGUUAUUAAUAGCCUUCUUGCUUUCUUUGUUGUUUUUAUUUUGUCUUUUUUGUUAUUGAGAUCUUAGUAUUGUUUUGAUAGGGGUGAUCAUCUUCAUAUGUCCAAAUGUAUGGCCAGGGGAGUUUCUUUAACUCCUAUGUUUUCUAUAGUCAGCCAAUCAAAUCACAAAGGAGACCCAACACAUGGUAAUUUAUUUUAAUCUUCGAUAAAUUAAGUAUCUUAGUUUAUAUAUAAGUUAGUAUUGUUUUUACGAUGCGCUAAAUAAGCUAAAUUUCAUAAAAACUUUAUGUAUAAGAAUUUUUUUUUUUUUUAUCAGUGUACUACUUCCCCAUGAAGAAGAUUUUAGUUUUAAUUUGUCACAAGAGGUAUUUUGACAGUUCAAUUUUCAUGUGAUGUACCCUAAACUUCACUCAAAAUAUUUUCUUUUGGUGAGGAUUUCAUUUCGAGAUAUGAGACCACUGAUUCACUGAUUAAGAAGUUAUUUGAAGUUCAAAAUAGAGAAGAUUCAAACUAACCCUGUUUAUAAUAUGAUUCUACAAUAGUUCAAUUUAUAGUCUAAUAUUGACUUAUGUGUUAGUAUUUUUGUAUUGGUUUCCCUUGAUUGCCAAUGGGUUUAUUUAUGGUAAUGAUGCAGUGAUUAACUCUAACUUUCUCAAAAUUUGAUUUAGAUCUUGUGGCCUUAUUGUUUUGUAGAUUUCACCGUUUUUUGUAUUAAAUGUGCAAUCUAUGUGGUUGCCAUUUUGUCUCACUUCUUCAAUGCCCAAUAGAAAAAUAUAAUGUGGUGUAUGCGAGAAGUUUCACUUUUCAAGUUGAUGGUAACCAGAUUAACACAAACUCAAUCAUACACAUAAUAAGUGUACAAUUACAUUACUCCAUAUCUUUUUUUUAAAUUAUACUUGUAUUGGAGUUUUAUUUGCAUAUAUUACAUGUUUUAUAUGAUUAUGAUAAAACCUCUUCUUCUUUUUUUUGUCAUGCGCAGAACCUUUACGCUUCUCUAUGUUCAUGUACGUACAUUACUUAAGUAUUUAAAAGUUACAAGAAUUUCUCCAAUUGCACGUUUAAAAUCAUAACAUCAAAAAACCAACUACUUCUCUAUCUUCAUGUACGUACGUUACUUAAGUAUUUAAAAGUUACAAGAAUUUCUCCAAUUGCACGUUUAAAAUCAUAACAUCAAAAAACCAACUACAAGUUCAUGUCGGACCCAAAAGUGUUUUUGAUUGAAACUACUCUUAAAACCAAACAUUAUAAAGAAGAAAAGCCUCAACCAUAUAUUACAUUCCCAAUAGCACAAAUAUCCAAAUCUAAUAUUGCAUCUGUGUUGGAACUGAUUUGGACUUAAACACAUCUGUCAAACAUUAUGGUCAGUUUCAUAUUGAACAUGGAUUGAAUAACAAGAAGCUUAAGUCUUAAACUCAGUUUCAGAGAAGUAAUCCAAGUUGUAUAUCAGUUGGAUUACAUAGAGGUUCAUUGCAUUUAACCUGAAUGCAAUUCGAAUUAGUAUUGUGAUAGGAUUAUGCCUAUGCAGUUGUUAACAUUGAGUACAAUAAGGAUUUGGUUAUGGGAUUGAAUCCGGUUUUGUGAUCACUAUAUAAAGGAGGCUAAGUCCCUGUGCUCUUUAUCGUUUGGCAUUGAGUUUUGGCAUUCCCAUAGUGCUGCUUGAUACAGAGACACAGAAGACCUGCAUCCAUCUCUUGUUUGUGUGCGCAGCCAACCCAGAAGUCUAUCACAAUGGUGUCAUCAUCAAAGAUAGCAGUCAAGGCAGAUUGGAGAUCCAACCAAGGUAUGUUCCUAGUUCAUCUGGGAUAACUUAAGUAUGUAGAAUGUAUUAAAGUGUUCUUGAAUAUAUGCAUGUGUGUUUGUAUGUUUAUGAAAUAAGAUCCAAACUUAAGUUUUUAGAUGGCUUUAAUAGGAUUUUGAAAACCAUCUAAUGGCAUUUGAACAUAUACUCAUCCUUUAUACGACUUAUUAUCUCAUCUUAUCAUCUCUUUUUGUCAUCGGUGUAUAAGUUUGGACUUCGGCUGUGAAGUUUAAUUGGCUAAGUUUUCUUUCCUUUGUGGAAUAUUGGUAUUUUUCGCCAUGUCUCUCAUUAUAAUAUUCAUCUAUUAAUGCAGUUGUUUGUUGAUAUAAAAAACUUAACAUCAUUUACAUUCCCAUUCAGUCAAAUUUCCCAACCAAUGUUAACUAAGGAGCCCUCAAAUUAAAGAGCUCCGCUCCAUAUCGAGUAACUCAUGGCUCAACAAGGAUCGAUGCGGACACGGUAGAGGCAGGCACAGAUGAUGCAGAAAAAAACUAACGUCAGGACAAUUGAAACAAAAUCGGAGUCUCCACGGUUUGAGACCGCGCUAGUAGUGCAUGCCUCACUUCCACGCGGGACACACUUGGCUUAGAGUUGGCGCCCUACGCGAGUCUUGGUCACUCUUUAAUUUCUAUUCUUGCUCCCGUUGUGAACUAGUCCGCCCUUGGCCAACUUGUCAAGCCAAUCCUUUUCUCUUAGUUGUGCAAUAUGCAUAUAGUAGGAGUGUUGUUUCACCUAGCCUUCUGACCUUCAUUGCAAAAGUUUACCAUUUCUCAGUUCUUGACUUUCUCUCACUCAGCGCGAUAGACGGUAUUGGUGACAAACUCUGCCACGGAAGCCCUCCUAGCAACAGUCAGAUCCUCCUAGUGCUUUAAGCUCAUGCUGGUGAUUUGAUUGUUACUUGAUUUGUUCCACCAGCCCCGCCACCUCUUGAAUCUGGACCUGCCGAUGUUUGUCUCGAGUUUUCAAAUCCUCCUGGAAACAAGAAACAGUGGUCUUGGCCUCUUUGCCUUCUGCUUCCGGACCUCCAACUCUCCUUGUAAACGAGCGAUAGUAGUCUCUGCAGCAUUACUGGCAGUAGCGAGAGGGGCAUCCAUCUCAGACACUUUAACAUUGGCUACCCUCACCUCAUCUCGGAUCACCCCUUCCCGGACUUCCAUCUUAGUUAUCUGCCUCUCGCUGGCUCCAUAGACAGUGGCGUAGCCAGACAUCUCACUUAAAAGGGUCAAAUUUGAUUAAUUAGAAAAUUAAAUUAUUUUCAGUCACUCUUUAGCAACAAUACAAUUUUACUUAAAAGAAUGACGCAAACUUAAUUUCAACAAUAUUUUUGUUCUAUCAUCUCUAAUAACUUGGAUUAGAAUUUCAUGCACGAUAAAUAUUAGAAAAAAAAGAAAGAUACUUUUUCUUUUGUUUGAGAGAUAAUGCAUGUUGAUGUAUGGUAAACAUUAAUUAAUAUGUUGUUUCCAUUUAGUAAGAUAAAAAACCCUUAACACGAUUUGUAUUAAUUGGAUUAAGUAUUUGAAUAGUAUAAAUUUUUAUUUCAUUCUAUUAUUGUUGAAGAAUAUUUAAGACUAAUUAAGAAUUUAUUAGAGAAAAAAUGUCAAUUUAUGUUUUAUUUCUAUUGAUAUCCAAUACAAAUGAAAGCUAAUUACUCUUUUUAAAAAUUUGAGAGGGUUCAAUUGAACCCCUUGCCCCUAGCUACCUACGCCAUUGUCCAUAGACAACUUUCACACCCUACACGAGAACAAAACCACGAAGUCAACAAAACAGACAACAAACAAUAUCAAAGGAGAAGACAAUGUUACUAACUCGUGUCAGCUUUUCUUGAUCUAGCCAGAGGGCAAUCAUGGGGUCCUCAUGCUUGAGCACAUAAGUCUUGGAACUGCAAUGGUGCAUGUCGUAGACUAUGCGUUGGACAUAGGGAUCCUCCGCCCUGACACCCCACAAGACUUCCAUGAUUUUUGAGAAAGACUGGUUGUGCAUCCGAGACGAGUUGGAGCCUUUCUUCUUCUUCUUCGAUUAUGGCUCUAAUCCCGUUCUAGACUGGCAUGGGAAACAAUAAUAAAUAAAUAGAAACAUAUGAGGAUCUAAUUGGACCCGUUCUAGACCUUGUUGGUUCCAGUUUCUAUAUCCCGAUGAUGAGAUCCAUAGAUGUCUCUAUUUCGAUCUGAAAUUCUUUCUCUUGAUGUAGAUCUAAAAUUCUUUCUCUCGAUGGGUUGGUGGGGAAGAUUCUAACCUUGGUGAUGGGUUAUUGGUGGAGAUAAAUGUUUUUUGUGUUGAACGAAAAAGAAGAGGGAUGGAGAAAGAAAUAUAAGGAGAAGAACUGAAGAAGUAAAGUUUGAAGAGGGAGACUAAAACUUAGAAAUAUUUCUGUACUGCUUGAAUUUGUUCUUGUGAAAAGGAAAGAGAAAAAAAAACAUUUCUGUACUGCUAGAAGGAGAAGUUUGGAAAUAGAAAAAGAUGAGAAGAAAAGAUUAAUUAAUUACUUCAUUCGAGAAGAAGUGUAACAAAAAUGACAUUGUCAUGUCACAUGACAAAUUUUGAAUUUAACCAGACCAAAUGACAACAUUAAAGUUGCUCGAUCUUACUUGUCGAAAGUUGUCAUGAUAUAUAUGAUUUUUUUGAUUAAAUUGCAACAGGUGGACUUGCUCUUAAAAGUUAAGGAUACAGAGGUACGAUUCUAUAGAACAAGUCAUGUUCAAGUAAGGUCAUUGUCAUAUAUAUGAUUAUGACACAAGAAAACAAUCGAUUUGUCUUCUAAUUAUGGGUAAGUAAUGAAAUUAGUUAUUUCUUUAGAUUAAAAAAAUACAAAUAAAAUGUGUCAUUUUGUCCCCCCCCCCCCGCGACGGAAUUGACAAAUUAAGCAACAUUGUAGUUACGCUUAUAAUAUUCGUUUUCAUUGUUCCUUCACUUCAUUGUAGGUGACUCACAAACCAAUAGCUACCGAUUUCAGUUAUUUCUCAUGCCCAAAGAUUCGGGGCUGAACCAUAAGAAGUUAGUACAUUGUUCAUUUCUCGUUUUUCCCUUCACGAGCCUACCUAUAUGAAGCAACAUUGUUUUUCCCUUCAUGAGUACCUAUAUGUUUAUUGAAUUAUGUUCGAUUUAUCGAUCAUAGUUAUAUAAUUAUACAUAUAAACGUUUUGAUUGUUUGAUUUACAUUUCAUCACCUGACGUUGCAAGGUAUAUAUUAAUAUAUACAAUAUAUAGCUUGCAACGUCAAGUGAUGAACAAAUUAAUUUAAUGAAUGAUUAUAGCUGAGUUUCAGCAUUAUGUUCUUAGAAAUAUUAUUUCACUCUCUAACUGCACUGCCUAUAAAUUGGCUGCCUCGUCUAGUGUCCUCAUAAAUUAACCAAACCAAACGAAACCAAACACAAUUAGCAAAUAACAAAGAAAGACAUGACCAAUUACUACACCAGAUCAUAUAUUUCGAUCUCUAGAUUGCCAACCCUGUAAAUAUAUAACGAUUCUGAGUAAGAAGUAGAAACUUUCUCCACUGUAACAACUAGCUAGCUCCAAUGUUCCAGGUCCCCAGAAAUUAACAAAGCAAUAUGGAAUAACCCUUACUAUUUUGUUUUGUUGUUCAGAUAAUAGAAUUACUCUAUCUACCCCAAAUCGUCAUUGUCGCUGACUCACAAUCAUGAACUACUUAUUUGAAUAACCACUAACUCGUCCAAAAGUCCAAAGAUUUGAGGCUAUAUAAUUAGGGAUCCAUAAGAUAUUGGUACAUUGUGAAAGGUAAGUAGUUGGCUAGCUCAUUUUCUUGCUUUCACCUCUACAAACCUACCCAUGCAGCUCAGCUCACAGCUUACUGCUAUAACAACAGUCUAAGAGACAUAUGUUAGCGUUUUGGUUAAUUUAUCGAAAUAUUUGCCCAUUCAAGAUCAAGUUUAUUGUAACAAGUGAAAUAGUAUUACAAACAACUACCAACAUGAUUUGGUGAACACAUUUAAUUAAUUAAUGAUUACAGUACUGAGUUUUAGUUAGGAAAAUUAUUCCACUCUCGAACUGCUGCCUAUAAAUUCACUACUCAUAAACCAAAUCAAACCAACCAAACGUAACAAGCAGAUAACAAAGAAACAUGGCUGGAGGCAGAGAAUUCAAGGUGAGUACGAGGAAGCAAGAAGUGGUGGCCGCUGCACUGCCAUUGCAAGAGCACUGGCUACCACUCUCCAACCUCGACUUGCUUCUGCCACCAGUCGAUGUGGGAGUGUUCUUCUGCUACAAGAACCACAACAGCCCUUCUGUGACCGCCGCCAGGGUCGGGGUUCUGAAGAAGGCCCUGGCCCAAGCACUGGUGACAUACUAUGCCUUUUCGG
Molecule: long non-coding RNA, 19684 nt
Filed under: Fragaria vesca (wild strawberry)
Lineage: Eukaryota; Viridiplantae; Streptophyta; Magnoliopsida; Rosales; Rosaceae
Description: long non-coding RNA (FVES_LNC003182)
Source: RNAcentral